Molecule: long non-coding RNA, 4937 nt
Organism: Hyalella azteca
Lineage: Eukaryota; Metazoa; Arthropoda; Malacostraca; Amphipoda; Hyalellidae
Exons: 2
Source: RefSeq, a predicted model, not a curated record
UGUUGUCUUUAAAAAGUAAUUUUUAAACGUAUAUUAUUAUAUGAUCUAAACUCUAGCUUAACUUUGAAUUCACUAAAUAGGAUGCCUUUGACAUGAUCGAAAUACUCGUGAGUCAAGAGACAAAAAAAAAAAUGUGUUGCAUCAGUAAAAAUGUGUACUAGAAUUUAAAUAAGGGAAGUCCUUUGUAUGAAAGGCAGGCUUAGUUCGAGGAUAUUAUGCGGGAUUCGUUAUUUCGUUCUUGCAAAAGAUCCGUGGUUGACAAACGUGUGGCAAAAUUCUAAUCUGCGUGCGCAUAGUUUAUUGAAUCUCGGAUCAUACAUACGUUAUAAUUACGUUAGUGUAAUUGCUUAUAUAAGGGAGAAAUUAUUUAAAAUAAUCCUGUAUUUAACCUGGAUUAUAUUACAUAUAUUACAGCUGUGUGAGCCUUGCUUCGACGGUAGUACUAAUAGUCCACUGGUCACCAUUUAAGAUUGUCAGCAUUUACCGGGCGUUUAUGUUGAAUGCUCGCUCCACUUGCGUGUAGGUUUCUUCCAAAAGUUCCUCGACAUGCUUGUUGUCACUUGCAGGCUGGGUCGAUAAUAGGCGCUUUUUGAAGUGUUUUAUUUUACCAUGUAAAUUAUCUCCAUUUUGGUGGUCCAUGUCCUGUGGACCUGUCACAGCGGUUGUUGAAAAUUUGGGGAUGAAAUUAAUAAUAGUUCAUCAUCGCGUCUUUAAUCAAUACAUAUAACAAGUCUUUAGAUAUUAAAUUAUUAUUUUAUGAUCAAUCACUGCCAAAAUAAAUGUCUCUCAUGAGUAGCCACGGUCUUGUUGCCUGACAGACGAUGAAACAUGUAAUCCACGAGUCUAUCUGGAUAUUUGUAUCAAUUAAUUUACAAUUAAUCGAUUAAUUGAACAAUUAAUUUAUAAUUACCGUAAUUGUUUUAGUUAUCGAUUUCUGGAAAUAUUUAUCUGUUUUUGGUAUGGUGGAAAAUAAAGAGGAGGAAGAAAGAGGAAAUAUACGUAAUGAUACGAGGUGAGCAACUCAUUGUUGUUACUUUCAUAAUGAGAUGGAAAUUUAAUUGAUUGCUCUAACGUUUGCCGUGCACAGUUCAGUUAACAAGCUCUUCACAGCGAUCGUAUACUUCUUUGCAAACGCAGAAUCUUUAAUUCUUCCUCCACUAAAGAGUUUGAGGAUACAAUUUUUCUAUUAACUGUGAGCUUUGCGUGUCUUUCGAAUGGCUUAAAUGCUACUUUUCUGCUGACACCGCGCAUGCGUAGCAACUCUAUCGUCAUUUAUUUCAUGAAUGUGAAUGGUUUCUCUUCAUUGCCUGAUUAUAUGCAAAAUUGUGUUAAAUAUCCGUUCAGAAAUUUUUCAGCUUGAUUAUCCGCAAGUGGCAACGAAAUUGGCCCAAUUAAAGUUGGGUUCCUCGUAAAUUUUAUAAAUUUUUCCCCUUCUAAUUCGGAUGAAAACAAAAACCUUUGAUCGGAGACCUAAUUUAUUCGAUAACAAGGUUUCUUCAGAUAAAUUCUAAAGUAUAUCGGAAUAGAUGUUCGUUAACUAAGCGACAUAUGGUCAUAUAUUGUCUAGUGAUUUUUUUUCGACUCAUUUUCUCUAUCGUGAUCACUUUAUCGUUGAAUUAUCAUCAUUAUGUAAAGCCUUAAGACCUAGCUAAGACUCAAAGACAUUCAUAAUAUACAUCUUCUCCAUGAUUUCUAUUUUAUGUAUUAUAUGUAUAUGAUCAGAUCUUCCUCGUUGUUCAUAAGAACUAAUUUUAUGUAGGUUAUCUCUGACCACCAAAAUAUGUUUAUUACUUUAAAUUUAUUGUUCGGCAUCCUUUCUUCUUAAGUAAUGAAUGUCAAUGUUCUACGAGCCUUAACAUGCAUGGAGCAAGAAUAUUAUAUAGCCUUCUUGCCUGAGCUGCUCUUCUAGCUCAUAAGAUCGUUGCUGUUAAAUACUUUUCGAGUUUUCUAUAAAAACUUCUCCUCUGAAUGAGUAAAAAAACGUCCACGAUAUGACGUUAGUAUUAAGACCUAACAUGGUAUAUUUAUUAGCUGGUUUGAGUGUUGGCCGACUCUGUAAACGCGAGAAAUACCUUGAUUGUCAUGGAAAUAUGUAGGUAGGCCUAUGAGGAGGCAUGCGUUCGAAUCACAUUAUCUUGUUUAGUUCAUCACAAUAACUGAGCAUUACAUUCAUCCGACUCAAAACUAUGAACUUCCACACAAUUUUACUUCGAGUUGCUCUGAACACGACCUAUUAUUGAGUGCUCAAUAAUGAGGAACGAGUGACGGGAAUAAAAUUUCGUAGAUAUCCUAAUCGUCGAUCAAACACUCCCAACACUGUUCUCUAGGAUGUUUGUCAGUCAACUCAAGUUGAAGCUAAACAUCAAGUUCCUCUAUUUAUUUGCGCUAGAAUUAGAAUGAAAUCAGAAGAAAUAUAGUUCUAUAUCGUAGUGUCACAAUUCAUUGCCACAGACAAGCCUUAUAAAAUGCAUUGUUUUUAUCAAUAUUCUUGAGAAAUUUAUUUAUCAUAAAACAAUAAUGAACAUGAAAAUUAUUCCUGUUAUUGUCACUUUUAUUAUAGAGAAGAAUUUAAGUGGUUUAGUUAAGGAAUGCAAGUACUCGUUGACGGAUUUGUUAGUUAACAAAAUGUAAUUUAGUUAAUGUUUUAUGCUUAAUAGUUUAUAUGAAUCUAUGGAUAAAUUUACGAGCUGAUUAUAGGAGAAGAAGAUAAUGUGAGAAUCAGAUCAGGCGUACUUAUUUUAAAUAUAAUUACUUGUUUAAAAAUAUAGAAGCUCAUUGGCACCACUAACAUAUUAAUAACAACUGUAGUUAUCGAGCUCCGAGUGCUGUAAGCGGUUAUUAUAACUAUAGUUAUUAUCGAGCUCUGAGUACCCUAUAUUUUAUAUUAUUUCAUCGUGCUCGAGCAUUGUAUGGGCUUUCACAGUUUUAUCGACGGGAAUUGAAAUGCGUCUUGAACGAAAGUUUCACCCAGAACGUAAACUUGCCCACUGAUUGAAGAUUGAGUAUUGGCAAUUGCAAUAGCAUCACAAAUUCGUUCAUAUAAGUUCGGAUUGCUUUAUAUAAAAUCGUAUAUUUUUAGUUAUGCAUACUCAACUACUGACAUAUCUUGAUUCUCUAGCAGCGAUUCGUACGUACAUCGCGUGUAGCGAACGCAGACAUCAAACCAAUGUCGGGAGUUGGCGUUGCUUGUUGUGUCGGGUGGGCCAUAAUUUGCAGGUGACUAGUGGGCCCAAAGGUGCAGGGGAUGAGUGGGCCCAAAUGUGCAGGUGACUAGUGGGCCCAAAUGUGCAGGUGACUAGUGGGCCCAAAUGUGCAGGUGACUAGUGGGCCCAAAUGUGCAGGUGACUAGUGGGCCCAAAUGUGCAGGUGACUAGUGGGCCCAAAUGUGCUGGUGAUGGAUGAGCCUAAAUGUGUUUUCAAAGGUCUUUCACUUCGUAUUAUUUUGGUUGGUCGGCAUGCGAAACUCUUUGCUUAGGAUUUGGACUGCAGUUUUCUAGAAUAGUCUCUAAUUUCUGCUAGAAUUGUGUGCAUGCAGGAUCUAUGAAAAAGUUCAUUGCCAUAGUGACUCACGUGAAAGAAUAAUCUUCUGAACUAGGCCUUAUACAAAUCAGUAACGUGUCCGUAGAACUAAUCUUAUCAGAAUUUUAUUAUCUUGUAAACAUAUUAUCAUUUGAACGAUCCCUCAUGCUUGAGCUUAAUUUGGUGUCCUCCUCCUAUUCUCAAAAAUAUUUUUCGUUAGAAAUUUUGUGUUCACAAGUAUGAUGACCCUGUAAUGCUGCCAAAUUUUGUACUUGCUUCGAAUGUCGCUUAGAACGAAGAGCUCACGCUUUCGCGGUUCAAUAACCGCCUGUUCCUGAUACGAGUUCGUGAAGGCUGCACCAGACCUCUUACUCUCCUUACUGCGCUUAUAAAAAAUACAAAGUAAAAUGGCUUCUCGCUUUCGCUCUGCUUGAAUUAUCUAUGCGUAUUCAGAAAUAAAUUGUAGUUUUUGGUUUCAUCAAAACUGGUUCAGAUAUUGCUGCUCUCGUUUUGCCGAAGCCUGACGCAGAUAUGUUGUCUUUGAAGAUAACACGUCUUUCAUCACACACAAACCCGGUCUAGGUUACGUAGUGCAGAAGUUUUAUCCUUUUCAACUUCCGCAUGGUGAGGAUUUUGAACUCCUCGCGAGCUUUUAAUUAUGAGUGGUUGAGGUGCAAUGGAUGCGACUUAGCGUGAGGCCUUUCACAAUCGCUCAUUGGAUCUUGUAAAUACUGCACUCUACCCUAAGGUGUCUUUUGAUGAUGAUUUUGUACCAGUUAUUCUUUCUCACUGAUGCUAUUAUUCGAAGGAACUCGUAGUGGAUGUACAGUAGAUCUUUUUCACCAUUGUGUGUUAGCUCGUUACUUAUUCUGAUGAGAAACUACCUAUACACGAUGGUUGUUCAGUCGCCAGUAUGGCCAAGACAGCGGCAGAUCGUGCGCUAAUCAGCUCUAUAUAUCAUUGGAUAUUCCGAUAAUCAGUCGUAUAUGUAGCACUAUCGACUGCGGUGCGUUGUACUAACUAUCACUCAUGUAUAUUCUCGCUAAAGUCGCCGUUCUGAUAUAUACGAUAAUUGAUUACUCAUUGCCUGUUUCGGAAAGACGGUUAUGAUCUUUGAAAUGCUAUGGAACCAGUACUGCAAGUCUGUGAAAUAUUUUCAAAUCAAGCUCUCAAUUUACAAUUCCUCUGUGAAUUGACAUUCAAUUUUUAAUCUUAUGUCUUCUUUAAUUACCAUUCGUUAGAAAAGAUUGUGUCCUCAUAAUUCGUGAACACUUUUUGGCAUAAACUAACUCAAAUUAUCCGAUUAUAAAAUAAAUUUAUCCAUGUUCAUAAGGAAAUGUGAACCAUAAACUAGAUUCAAAAUUGUAAGCAUAGGCCAUACAUAGGAUAUGCAUCUUCAAAUAAAUUUUAUUUCUAAC